RNAcentral lists this ribosomal RNA (516 nucleotides) under uncultured bacterium. RNAcentral describes it as "bacterial SSU rRNA". It matches the Rfam family "Bacterial small subunit ribosomal RNA", at positions 30 to 528 of the family's 1533-position model. The record is from RNAcentral.
UGAACGCUGGCGGCGUGCCUAAUACAUGCAAGUCGAGCGAACAGAUAAGGAGCUUGCUCCUUUGACGUUAGCGGCGGACGGGUGAGUAACACGUGGGUAACCUACCUAUAAGACUGGAAUAACUCCGGGAAACCGGGGCUAAUGCCGGAUAAUAUUUAGAACCGCAUGGUUCUAAAGUGAAAGAUGGUUUUACUAUCACUUAUAGAUGGACCCGCGCCGUAUUAGCUAGUUGGUGGGGUAAUGGCUUACCAAGGCAACGAUACGUAGCCGACCUGAGAGGGUGAUCGGCCACACUGGAACUGAGACACGGUCCAGACUCCUACGGGAGGCAGCAGUAGGGAAUCUUCCGCAAUGGGCGAAAGCCUGACGGAGCAACGCCGCGUGAGUGAUGAAGGUCUUCGGAUCGUAAAACUCUGUUAUUAGGGAAGAACAAAUGUGUAAGUAACUGUGCACGUCUUGACGGUACCUAAUCAGAAAGCCACGGCUAACUACGUGCCAGCAGCCGCGGUAAUACGU